GUAUAUGAAAUUUAAAACAUAGCUUUACUCUAUCUUCAAAGCCACUACGGUUUUGGUGAAAGGUAAUGGGAUAAUAAGUUUGGAAGAGGAGGCAAGUUUAGCAAGGACUUGACAAAAGGACAAGCAGAACCUGCUUUUAAUUAGCCAUAGACAGCUACAGCCUAAGCCUGGCCUGGGAAAAGCCAAGAGGCAGUUUGGUGUAGAUCCCAGAGUUCGAGGUCACCUGAAACUGGAUUCCAAGGAUGAUUUGGCGGGAAUGGCCCCUCCCCCUUCUUCAUAACCCAGUGUCUUGGAAUAGUAAAAUUGAACCUUGGUCAGACUGAAAAAAAAAAAAAAAAAGAUCCCAGAGUUCUCAGAAGGCACCUUUGGAAAUGACAGAAUACCUAUUACAAUGUGUUUAGAGCCUCAGCACCUUUCCCACACUAUAUUGUGCCUCUGCAACCCCAGGAAAAAGGCCUCAUGGAAGGUCCCAAGCCUAGGACCACACUUUAUUAUCACACUAGAUAAUAAAGUCUGUUGUAGCCUUUGGUAAUUGGCUGCUAUUUGACCUCAGACAGUAGCAGCCAGGCUUGCUUAUUGCUCUUGAAGAUCAGAGCUUACACAAGAAAGAAGGCCUAAAUAUACUGUUAAACAGCAGGAUUUCUAAGGAGUGUUCCCUUCUAGUAAAGAUACAGAAAACUCAUAGGUCUGAGCUAGAGGUGAAGCUCAGCUCUAGAUAGAGUACUUGGUCAGCAUGGCCUGAUGUCCAUUCCUAACACUAAGGUGAAAUGAGAUGAAAGAAUAUAUGCAAGUACUGCAGAUUGUGAAAAGCCAGGCAUGGUAGUGUGUAUCUAUAGCCCCUGCACUCGGAGACUGAAGCAGUAGGGUGGCUUGAGCUUAGGAAUUCAAGAGCAGUCUGGGCAACAUAGAAAGACUUCAUUGCAAAAACAAAUGAAUGAAUGAGUGAAUGAAUGAAUGAAUGAAUGAAUGAAUGGAAGAAAGGGGAAAGAAUUGUGCAAGUAACUUCUCUAAGUUGAAGUCCAUUAGUUAGCAGAUUAGACAGUGCUACUGAGUUCGAACAAUGGAUAAAAAUAGGUCUAGGUUGAAGCAGGAAAAAGAUCUAGGAAGGUCAGAGGUCUUACUAUAGUUAGAGACAUCAUCUUUUAAUGAAAUAAUUUUAUGGCAGUUUCUGCAACAUCCUUUUUCAUUUAGCUCCUGAGUAACAGCACAAAGACAUCAAAAUUUAUUAACAAGUUACAAACCUAAUCUGGGAAGGUUCUGAGAUGAGUACAAUCUGGCUAGGCUAUUAAUAACCAGAUAAAUGCCCUAUUAUUUGCCAGCUGAGUCUUGCUUUGUUUCAUGUAUGUCCUCAAUUUGAGCUUGCUUUGGUCAUGUCCUCAUGGCCCAUCCUGCCUCGUGGCCCAUCCUGCCUCAUGGGGACCUCCUUCCUCCCUUGCCUUUUUCCUUCUCCUUGUGGGCUUUACCUGAGAUCCCAUACUCCAUCUCAAGACUCACGUUUCUCUCCUGCCCAGUAACAGGCUCUAGCCUUUUAUUGUCCAAUCAGAGAUUACUAGGGAGCGUUCUUUACAGCACAUUGGUCAAUACAACGUCCAUGUCCAGACUACAACCUGAUCUUGGGGCACAGAACUCAGCAUCUGAAUGCACAGCACACAAGACCAACCUCAACAAUCUUUGGAUGCACACACAGGAACUGGGUAGUAGAACAGUGUCUCAGAAUCUGAUAAGGGCCUAAAAAGAUAGUUGAGUGGUUAAGAGCAUGUGUUCUUGCAGAGGACCUGGGUUUAUUUCCCAACCCACAUGAUGGUUUACAACCACUCUUGACUCUAGUUCCAGAGAACCUUCUAUAGAGGCACCAGACACAUACUCAGUACAUAUACAUAGGCAAAAUAUACAAAUGAGC
This 1900-nucleotide long non-coding RNA is filed under the name Mus musculus (house mouse). RNAcentral's name for it is "long non-coding RNA chr16:18829580-18831480". Lineage: Eukaryota; Metazoa; Chordata; Mammalia; Rodentia; Muridae. The record is from RNAcentral.